CUCCUUCUCUUUCUCUCUCCUUAAUUCCUCCUCCCUCUCCUCUCUACGCAACCCACCACCCCACCUCCUUAUACGCUCAACGGCACACGCCACCGCCGUUUCCGACUAGCAGUCUAAAAUCUCAACCAGACGCCACCGCCGUUUUCAACAAGCUCAGAGAGCUCACUAAUCAAAUAGUUGAGCAGUGUGAAGCUUUAGGAAUAAAAUGUGCAGUAGUAAGCCUUUGUAUCCCUUUUUAGGUGAAGUAAGCAGAAAUGGGUAACAGAUUGUAAUCUCUUUGCCAACAAUUAGUUUUUAAAUUAGCUAAUAUAUGAGGCAGAGUUGAGGUGAUGGAAGUGCAUGCUAAGUGGCUACCACGAGCACCAGCUGGACGGCUGGUGGUCUACUGGCUAUGUUGAAUGGAAGUCACCCCCAGUUGAAACUCCACCUCUCUUCAAUCUCAAUGCCUUUGUUGAUUACUUCUGGCUGGAGAUUUCUACAUCAGUCACUGCCAUGUAAUACUUCCAUUGCCUUCUACUUCCGUUAGUGUUAUUUGUAUAGCAGUAUUUCCUUUUGUUUCGUGCAACUGAAAUGUGUCGACAGUAAUAGAAUGUAAAACUCCUUUUGCUUUCGUGAGGCGAUAUUUCAUGUUGAGAAGAACAUUCAUUAUUUAUGGUAAACCUGAUUUGAAAUAAUGACAGUUUAUAUUA
Lycium barbarum (goji berry) is the source of this 689-nucleotide long non-coding RNA. RefSeq lists it as uncharacterized. NCBI's taxonomy places the organism in Eukaryota, Viridiplantae, Streptophyta, Magnoliopsida, Solanales, Solanaceae. The transcript has 2 exons. The record is from RefSeq and is a predicted model, not a curated record.